AGUCGACGGAAACAGCAGAGCUUGCUCUGGCUGUCGAGUGGCGGACGGGUGAGUAACGCGUGGGAAUUUACCCAGUAGUGGGGGAUAGCCCAGAGAAAUUUGGAUUAAUACCGCAUACGAUCUACGGAUGAAAGGUGGCCUCUCCUUGGAAGCUAUCGCUAUUGGAUGAGCCCGCGUUAGAUUAGCUAGUUGGUGGGGUAAGAGCCUACCAAGGCGACGAUCUAUAGCUGGUCUGAGAGGACGACCAGCCACAUCGGGACUGAGACACGGCCCGGACUCCUACGGGAGGCAGCAGUGGGGAAUAUUGGACAAUGGACGCAAGUCUGAUCCAGCAAUGCCGCGUGUGUGAAGAAGGCCCGAGGGUUGUAAAGCACUUUCAAUUGUGAAGAAGAUUAUAAGUUUAAUACGCUUGUAGUUUGACGUUAACUUUAGAAGAAGCCCCGGCUAACUCCGUGCCAGCAGCCGCGGUAAUACGGAGGGGGCUAGCGUUGUUCGGAAUUACUGGGCGUAAAGCGCACGUAGGCGGAUUGGAAAGUAGGGGGUGAAAUCCCAGGGCUUAACCCUGGAACUGCCUCCUAAACUAACAGUCUAGAGUUCGAGAGAGGUGAGUGGAAUUCCAAGUGUAGAGGUGAAAUUCGUAGAUAUUUGGAGGAACACCAGUGGCGAAGGCGGCUCACUGGCUCGAUACUGACGCUGAGGUGCGAAAGCGUGGGUAGCAAACGGGAUUAGAUACCCCGGUAGUCCACGCCGUAAACGAUGUCAACUAGUCGUUGGACCCCUUGAGGGUUUAGUGACGCAGCUAACGCAUUAAGUUGACCGCCUGGGGAGUACGGUCGCAAGACUA
RNAcentral lists this ribosomal RNA (844 nucleotides) under uncultured Gammaproteobacteria bacterium. RNAcentral's name for it is "bacterial SSU rRNA". It matches the Rfam family "Bacterial small subunit ribosomal RNA", at positions 60 to 896 of the family's 1533-position model. Lineage: Bacteria; Pseudomonadati; Pseudomonadota; Gammaproteobacteria. The record is from RNAcentral.